UGGGGAAUUUUGGACAAUGGGCGAAAGCCUGAUCCAGCAAUGCCGCGUGUGUGAAGAAGGCCUUCGGGUUGUAAAGCACUUUUGUCCGGAAAGAAAUCCUUGGCUCUAAUACAGUCGGGGGAUGACGGUACCGGAAGAAUAAGCACCGGCUAACUACGUGCCAGCAGCCGCGGUAAUACGUAGGGUGCAAGCGUUAAUCGGAAUUACUGGGCGUAAAGCGUGCGCAGGCGGUUUGCUAAGACCGAUGUGAAAUCCCCGGGCUCAACCUGGGAACUGCAUUGGUGACUGGCAGGCUAGAGUAUGGCAGAGGGGGGUUAGAAUUCCACGUGUAGCAGUGAAAUGCGUAGAGAUGUGGAGGAAUACCGAUGGCGAAGGCAGCCCCCUGGGCCAAUACUGACGCUCAUGCACGAAAGCGUGGGGAGCAAACAGGAUUAGAUACCCUGGUAGUCCACGCCCUAAACGAUGUCAACUAGUUGUUGGGGAUUCAUUUCCUUAGUAACGUAGCUAACGCGUGAAGUUGACCGCCUGGGGAGUACGGUCGCAAGAUUAAAACUCAAA
RNAcentral lists this ribosomal RNA (558 nucleotides) under uncultured bacterium. RNAcentral describes it as "partial 16S ribosomal RNA". It matches the Rfam family "Bacterial small subunit ribosomal RNA", at positions 355 to 905 of the family's 1533-position model. The record is from RNAcentral.